Molecule: ribosomal RNA, 496 nt
Filed under: uncultured bacterium
Lineage: Bacteria
Description: partial 16S ribosomal RNA
Rfam family: Bacterial small subunit ribosomal RNA
Source: RNAcentral
AUGCACGCUGGCGGCGUGCCUAAUACAUGCAAGUCGAGCGAACAGACGAGGAGCUUGCUCCUCUGACGUUAGCGGCGGACGGGUGAGUAACACGUGGAUAACCUACCUAUAAGAUUGGGAUAACUUCGGGAAACCGGAGCUAAUACCGGAUAAUAUAUUGAACCGCAUGGUUCAAUAGUGAAAGACGGUUUUGCUGUCACUUAUAGAUGGAUCCGCGCCGCAUUAGCUAGUUGGUAAGGUAACGGCUUACCAAGGCGACGAUGCGUAGCCGACCUGAGAGGGUGAUCGGCCACACUGGAACUGAGACACGGUCCAGACUCCUACGGGAGGCAGCAGUAGGGAAUCUUCCGCAAUGGGCGAAAGCCUGACGGAGCAACGCCGCGUGAGUGAUGAAGGUCUUCGGAUCGUAAAACUCUGUUAUUAGGGAAGAACAAAUGUGUAAGUAACUAUGCACGUCUUGACGGUACCUAAUCAGAAAGCCACGGCUAACUACGUG